This 951-nucleotide ribosomal RNA is filed under the name Acinetobacter baumannii 42057_5. Its description in RNAcentral is "bacterial SSU rRNA". It matches the Rfam family "Bacterial small subunit ribosomal RNA", at positions 8 to 953 of the family's 1533-position model. Lineage: Bacteria; Pseudomonadati; Pseudomonadota; Gammaproteobacteria; Moraxellales; Moraxellaceae. The record is from RNAcentral.
AGAGUUUGAUCAUGGCUCAGAUUGAACGCUGGCGGCAGGCUUAACACAUGCAAGUCGAGCGGGGGAAGGUAGCUUGCUACCGGACCUAGCGGCGGACGGGUGAGUAAUGCUUAGGAAUCUGCCUAUUAGUGGGGGACAACAUCUCGAAAGGGAUGCUAAUACCGCAUACGUCCUACGGGAGAAAGCAGGGGAUCUUCGGACCUUGCGCUAAUAGAUGAGCCUAAGUCGGAUUAGCUAGUUGGUGGGGUAAAGGCCUACCAAGGCGACGAUCUGUAGCGGGUCUGAGAGGAUGAUCCGCCACACUGGGACUGAGACACGGCCCAGACUCCUACGGGAGGCAGCAGUGGGGAAUAUUGGACAAUGGGGGGAACCCUGAUCCAGCCAUGCCGCGUGUGUGAAGAAGGCCUUAUGGUUGUAAAGCACUUUAAGCGAGGAGGAGGCUACUUUAGUUAAUACCUAGAGAUAGUGGACGUUACUCGCAGAAUAAGCACCGGCUAACUCUGUGCCAGCAGCCGCGGUAAUACAGAGGGUGCGAGCGUUAAUCGGAUUUACUGGGCGUAAAGCGUGCGUAGGCGGCUUAUUAAGUCGGAUGUGAAAUCCCCGAGCUUAACUUGGGAAUUGCAUUCGAUACUGGUGAGCUAGAGUAUGGGAGAGGAUGGUAGAAUUCCAGGUGUAGCGGUGAAAUGCGUAGAGAUCUGGAGGAAUACCGAUGGCGAAGGCAGCCAUCUGGCCUAAUACUGACGCUGAGGUACGAAAGCAUGGGGAGCAAACAGGAUUAGAUACCCUGGUAGUCCAUGCCGUAAACGAUGUCUACUAGCCGUUGGGGCCUUUGAGGCUUUAGUGGCGCAGCUAACGCGAUAAGUAGACCGCCUGGGGAGUACGGUCGCAAGACUAAAACUCAAAUGAAUUGACGGGGGCCCGCACAAGCGGUGGAGCAUGUGGUUUAAUUCG